Molecule: long non-coding RNA, 4936 nt
Organism: Neofelis nebulosa (Clouded leopard)
Lineage: Eukaryota; Metazoa; Chordata; Mammalia; Carnivora; Felidae
Exons: 3
Source: RefSeq, a predicted model, not a curated record
UCACCUUUCAGUAGUCUCUGAGUUCAUGCGGGUUUUAUUCAACAGGUUUCCAAAGUCAGUUUUUAUUAUCUCACCCUUCUUCCGCACCUUUUGCUACAGAACCUUUACUUCCUGCUGCUACUAAGAUCCAAGCCCCCGUUCACCACAGCUAACGUUUUUCUUCACCGCAGAGUUGGUUCCCUCCUAGGGAUCGCUGUUGGAACAUCUGGACUCAGCUUCCAGAGACACACGGGCUUCAAUAUGUUACCUUCCACGUGUGGACAUGCGAUCUUGCUUGGAUGGAGUUUGUUUCUGGAACUGUCGUGAACUGUAAGGAGAAGAAACAGAACUUAAGAAUGAAAUGGGGCACUACUGAUUACACAGGGCCGGCAGGCGUAAACCAGAACUGUCUUGGGGAAACUGGGACAAAGCCCACCGGGACCCUGAGACCCACUGAUGAUGUGCGUUGCUUGCUGGUAACUUCCUGACCUUGGUGCCUACAGGUGUCCUCACCGCUCUGGUGUCCUUGGUCUUCGUCAGACCCGUCAAGCAUUCCCUCACCCGUAGCAUGUGCUGUCCCCUCCACCCAAACUCAGCUCUCCCGGACAGCCAUUGGGUUCCAUCCACCCUUCACUGGGGCCUCUGCUUAAAGUCACGUCCUCGGACACCCAAUCCAGAAGAGCUCUGCCCUACACUCUUGGUCACUCUCUUACCCUGCAUCCUUUUCUUCAUGGCACUUACCACUGCCUGAUGUGGCCUGACACACUGGCUCAGAUUCUCUUUAUGAACCGUUGGGGCCUGUGACACUCCUGACCGCACCUGCCUCCCAACAGGACUCAAUCAACAUCCACCAAAUGCACGACUGAGCGAGCUUUUGCCACCGCCGCGUCCUCACAUCCGAUGGACCUGGUCUUUCCCACCAUGUUUUCUUCUUCAAUGUUUAGUCGCUUCUUUUGCCUGCUUCUUUUUCUGGGGGAAAAAAAAAAGUUAGGAUCCCCCUUCCCAAAUUCUAAAAUAAAUCAACAGAAAUCACCUCUAUUUGGAUUAUUUUUUGAAACUGUCCACAGCUAACACCUAAUUAGGAGGCACACGCCAUGGUCACCAUGCUCUGCCUUACCACCCAGCGUGUAAGAAUCUCCAACCUUCCUUCCCUUGUGCCAGGUUCUCUUAAGCUCUCAGUAUGGCGUUCAGUUGUCUUCAAGAUGAUCUCGAGCGCACUUCAGUGCAUCAGGCGGGUGGCGACCAUCACGACGGCUGACACAGUUAUGACGGCAAGGUUCACAGCGACAACCAUAGCAAUAACGUGGCCACGCAGAGCAUAACGCGGUCUCCAACACCGACAACAUCUGGAGCCUAGGAGGCCCACGAUAAGUAUUUGCUGGAUCCAUGAAUAAAUUAGCACCCGUUGUCACAAUCUUCAUUUUUCCUGUUUUUACUGAGUGCCCCAAAUGAAUCGCUGACUUACACCGACGACCAUUGUUUUAGAGUAACUAUCCUUAACCUGUGAGGCAAGAACCCUUCCUGUUCCAGGUUUCAAAGAGUUAUGGCUGAAAAGGGGACUGAAAGGUAUCAGAUGUAUUUGCAACACCUUUGAGAUGCUUCUAUAACUUUCUUUUCAAACGUAUCAGUACAACCGAUCGCUUAAAUGUUACAACAUCUUUCCACUCCUGGGUAUAAAUUCUGUAUUUGUGUGUUCGUGUACCGUGCAUGUUCAGGUUUAGUCCAGAGGGGCGUGGUAAGGUUUUGAUUAGGAUUUUUACAUUCUAACAAUUUUUGAAAAAGGUUUAUUUAUUUUUGAGACAGAGAGAGAGACAGAGAGACAGAGAGACAGAGCGCGAGUGGGGGAGGGACAGAGACAGAGGGAGACACAGAAUCUGAAGCAGGCUCCAGGCUCCGAGCUGUCAGCACAGAGCCUGAUGUAGAGCUUGAACUCACAAACGGUGAGAUCAUGACCUGGGCCGAAGUUGGACGCUUAACCAACGGAGCCACCCAGGCGCCCCUAGGAUCUUUACGUUCUAGUUCAAUGGAUACGGAUUUACAACUGCCAUGUCUGUGUUGUGCAGGUCAAAUGUAGAAGUCAGGUUUACGCUAUCUUUGCAGAAACACAUCUCCUGUUAAAUUAUCAACGCAAUUUGCUUAAAGAGAUACCUGAAAUCAGAGCCUCAGGAAGUAAUUAUUCAAAAACCUCUAUACUGUGUUUUAGUUAUCGGCCUUGUCAUUUAAAAAGUUUCUAUUAUUUAAAAAUUUGCACAAAAUAUUUCUCUGUAUUGACAUUUUCAAUUUUUUACUGAACACUUUCACUAAGUAGACUCAUAUCUUUAAGAAAAAGGUGUCGUAUCUUUUCUCGUAACAACUUACAAAUUUCUAAUUUCAUUUCUUUGUAUUUUGGAAUUUCAAAAAUUAGAUUUAACAAAGCAUUGCCUGUUUUACUGAUUAGGAAAAGAAGCGACUUUUAGCUGAAUUUAUGGAUUCCAUUCUUUUUCUAAUUAAUUAAUUUCUGCCAUAUUUCUCUUACUCCUCUCCCCGGGUUUCUUUAGGACUGAUUUGAUUUAAAAACAAAAUAAAAAAAAUGAAGCCUGAGGUGAAUUUGAGCCCAGGUACUUUCUGUUAUUCCUUUUGAAAAAGUGCACCUUUCUCCCUGAUGGCCUUAUUGGUGGUGGUGUAUGUGUUUUGAAAUAACGUGAUCUCAUUUCUAUUCUCAUCUAAGUAACUGACUAUUGUAUAUUUUCAUUUACUUUUUACUUUUUACAUUUACUACCAGUUUGUAGAUAAGUGACUUUCAUUUUUACUUAUUUUCACAUCUUUGAAUGAUUUUGGUGUUUUCUUUUGAGUCCGUUUGUUAAAUUGUAAGUUUAUUGGGGGCACCUGUGUAACUCAUCGGUUAAGCAUUCGACUUUGGCUCAGGUCAUGAUCUCACGGUCAACAGGUUCAAGCCCAUGUGGGGCUCUGUGCUGACAGCUCAGGGCCUGGAGGCUGCUUCUGAUUCUGUGUCUCUGUCUCUCUCUGCCCCUCCCCUGUUUGUGCUCCCUCUCUUUCAAAAAUAAAUAAAACAUUAAAACAAUUAAUUUGUAAGUUUAUUGUACCGUGGUAGAAAAGAAUGUGUUUUGUGCCAUUUCUAGUUUGGGGAAUUUAAGAGAUCUGUCAAGGUUAGCAUGUGACCAACUUUCUAAAUUUUCAUGGACACAGAAGAAGGAAGAAAGCCUACUUAUUUCUAGGAAAAACUACAAUAUACCUGUACAUUUCUUCUUAUUAGUUUCUUCUUAUUAAUUAACAUCAAGUCCCUGAUGUUCACAUGCUUUUCGUGUGUGCUUUAUCUCUCUUGGACUGACGAUACUGUUUUAAAAUCUUAUCACUGCUUCUCUGUUAAAUGUCCUUGGCGAUUAUAAUCAUUUUUGCUUUAUCGGUUUUGAGUCAGUGUAUCUGUGUAACUCUAACAGCAUUAUCCUUUCCCAUUGGAUUUGGGUUUUGUGUUCAUUAAAAAUGGCCCUAUUUGCCCCCAUUAAAUAGUAUUUGCUUAAAAUUCAAUUUCUCUGCAAUUCUAUUUCUUUCUUCUUCUUCUUUUUUAAUGUGCUGACAUUGGCAUGUUGUGUAUUUGCUCAUUUCUUUUAUUUUUUUAUCUCCCUGAUAUUCCCCCUUGGGGUGUAUUUUUGUAAGUAGCGUGUCAGGGGGAAUCUUGGCAUUUUAAUAAGUGGGUUAAUCCAUUUCUCGUCCUGCUUGCUUUUGUGUUUUGUGCUCUCGGCCUUAAAGCUCCCUGCCACUCCAUUUCUCAUCUGCCCUUUGCCGUAGAGAAAUGCGUUCAGCUUGCUCUUACCUUCUGAAAUGGUUCUGAACUUUGACAUUCUCAAUGUAAUCCUAUCAGAGCAGUGCUUUCCCGUCUGUUUGGCCAAGCCCCGGCCCUGUGAGAUGCUCUGUGGGAGAAAGAUCUGUGGUCAAACCUCAUGAGGAAGGAGGCAUGCCAUGUACCCUCUUAGACAGUCUUAAAGCCCAACAGUGUAGAAAAUGCUCUGAUAAGUCCUGCGGUGCCUGUCUUUGCCCUUUUCCUGAGUUACUUUUUUUAGGAGGUCUUAUUUUACCAUCAUGGCCUGAAGCCCUCAUGAAGAUAUUUCCCCAAAUGUCAGUCAAGUAUGAAUUUCUGAGCUUAUCCUGUACAGUGGGGAAACUUGCAGUAUUGAUAGGUUCCUCUCCCUGUAGGCCAUCUGUCCCUAGGACUCAGCCAUGGGGCUUGAUGCCUCUAAGAAGAGAAUGGCGAGUGCUCUGGAGCAUAAAUGCUCUCAGGGUGGGGAAGAGAAGCGUCUGACCUCCAGGAGGUCCCCGUGGGGCAUGAAGGGGUGGAGAAUCUUCAGAUUGAGAGGGAAGAGAAGAAGGGGGAGGGGAGAAGGGUGAAGAGGUGAAGGCCAGAAUCCUGACCCCGCCCUAGGGUUAAGCUAUCCAGGGAUAGAAAGGAUAGUGACCCUGGGGGGGAAAAAGAAACAAGAAGUGAAGGUGGAAGCAGGGAGGCUUCUGUCGCAUUUCCUGUUGGGAUCUCAGGGACACCAGCUGGUCUGUGGCCUCGCACCAGCCACAGUCAGAGACUGUGCACCCUGUGGUCCAGAGGGAUCCAGAAGAAGGAAGCUGGGAAUUCUGGAGGGUCUCACAGGGACAUGGGGCUAACCCUGUUGCCAAGGCUGCCGGAGGUGGCUGAGACCCUGAGGACCCGCAGCUCCGAUGAGAAUCAGUGUAGGGCCUCGUGGGGGGUGGGGGGCGGGGGUCGCCUGGCUGUGCCCAGGGAGUCCCAGGCUUCCGCAGCAGAACCAGAUGGGCACAGGUGGAACGGGGCAUCGCUCAGAAGUUUGAGAAGGACCCGAGCCUCGGUCAGAAUUCCUUCUGGAAACACAAGGCACAUUGAGUUAGGACACCUAAAGUAGAGGUAAAGGAACUGUAAAGGCAAAUAGACAACAUGCCAAUGUUAGCACGUUAG